This 410-nucleotide ribosomal RNA is filed under the name uncultured eukaryote. RNAcentral describes it as "SSU rRNA". It matches the Rfam family "Eukaryotic small subunit ribosomal RNA", at positions 567 to 990 of the family's 1831-position model. The record is from RNAcentral.
CCAGCAGCCGCGGUAAUUCCAGCUCUAAUAGCGUAUAUUAAAGUUGUUGCAGUUAAAAAGCUCGUAGUCGGAUGUCGGGUUCGGGCAGGCUGUCGGCCUCUGGUCGGAUGGCAGGCUCGGAUCUUCUUGCCUGGGGAUCCGUCACACUUAACUGUGGGGCGGUAGUUCGCAGGCCGUUUACUUUGAAAAAAUUAGAGUGUUCAAGGCAGGCUAUCGCCCUGAAUACACAAGCUUGGAAUAAUGAAAUAGGACUUUUUCCAUUUUAUUGGUUAUUGGAGAGAGUAAUGAUUAAUAGGGACAGUUGGGGGCAUUAGUAUUUCGUUGUCAGAGGUGAAAUUCUUGGAUUUACGAAAGACUAACUUAUGCGAAAGCAUUUGCCAAGGAUGUUUUCAUCAAUAAAGAACGAAAGU